This 155-nucleotide ribosomal RNA is filed under the name Tricholoma sulphureum. Its description in RNAcentral is "5.8S ribosomal RNA". It matches the Rfam family "5.8S ribosomal RNA". Rfam says of the family: 5.8S ribosomal RNA (5.8S rRNA) is a component of the large subunit of the eukaryotic ribosome. It is transcribed by RNA polymerase I as part of the 45S precursor that also contains 18S and 28S rRNA. Lineage: Eukaryota; Fungi; Basidiomycota; Agaricomycetes; Agaricales; Tricholomataceae. The record is from RNAcentral.
UUUCAACAACGGAUCUCUUGGCUCUCGCAUCGAUGAAGAACGCAGCGAAAUGCGAUAAGUAAUGUGAAUUGCAGAAUUCAGUGAAUCAUCGARUCUUUGAACGCACCUUGCGCUCCUUGGUAUUCCGAGGAGCAUGCCUGUUUGAGUGUCAUGAA